UACGUAGGGGGCUAGCGUUGUCCGGAAUCAUUGGGCGUAAAGCGCGUGUAGGCGGUCCGGUAAGUCCGCUGUGAAAGUCGAGGGCUCAACCCUCGAAUGCCGGUGGAUACUGUCGGGCUUGAGUACGGGAGAGGCGAGUGGAAUUCCUGGUGUAGCGGUGAAAUGCGCAGAUAUCAGGAGGAACACCGAUUGCGAAGGCAGCUCACUAAGCCAUAACUGACGCUGAUGCACGAAAGCGUGGGGAGCAAACAGG
This 253-nucleotide ribosomal RNA is filed under the name uncultured bacterium. RNAcentral describes it as "partial 16S ribosomal RNA". It matches the Rfam family "Bacterial small subunit ribosomal RNA", at positions 524 to 776 of the family's 1533-position model. The record is from RNAcentral.